Molecule: ribosomal RNA, 361 nt
Filed under: uncultured rumen bacterium
Lineage: Bacteria
Description: partial 16S ribosomal RNA
Source: RNAcentral
UAUUCCCCACUGCUGCCUCCCGUAGGAGUUUGGGCCGUGUCUCAGUCCCAAUGUGGCCGUUCACCCUCUCAGGCCGGCUACUGAUCGUCGGUUUGGUAGGCCGUUACCCUGCCAACUGCCUAAUCAGACGCGGGACCAUCCUGUUCCACCGGAGUUUUUCACACUGCACCAUGCGGUGCUGUGCGCUUAUGCGGUAUUAACAGUCGUUUCCAACUGGUAUCCCCCGGAACAGGGCAGGUUUCCCACGCGUUACUCACCCGUCCGCCACUCAGUACAAGAUCUUCCGUCCGAAAACUUCCGUCCUUGCACCUCGUUCGACUUGCAUGUGUUAAGCACGCCGCCAGCGUUCAUCCUGAGCCAA